CCCGUUUGCACAAGUUCUUUUUGAUUCGGGAACUUGCCUGUAAGGAGGAUAGAUUCUGGGAACUAAAUCUGUGAGAGUAGCUAACUACAGAAGUUCAAAACUAAAGUUGUAGUUUGUACGUAUCGCAUAGGUACACACCCCAAAGCAAUCUUGUGACACACGCACUUACUUCAGGAUCAUCUUUUCCAAAGGAUGAGUCAUUUCAGUCCCAGGUGAACUUGUAGGAAUCAGGCAGACUGAAAUGUCAGUUCUCAUGCAAACGGGGUUUGCAUUGAAUAUGAGAAAUAAUCUUCAUCAUGAUGAAGACACAACUUCAGCUCUCCUCACAGUGAUGAAUGGGGUCAGACCUGGAUUUUGGUUUCUGUUACUGGCAGCUCUGUGGUGGUGUUUCACAGUGGCAGAGAAACUGGAAUUUUGUUUCCACGGUGUUUUCCAACCCUUGCUUGGAAGCCAGAACUGAACACAGACCUGGAAUCCUCGAGUUGCGGGACAGGAGAAUGGCCUGUUGGAACACCUUUAACUACCAAGAAAAUUUCAGAAGUACACGUGCAUACUCAUCCUACAAAAUUAUUCAUCUAAAUAAAACAUAUCGUGUACGUAUAUGAGGCUCAUAAUAAUCUCCUGAGGUGAGUACCAAUAUUUUCCUGUUUACACAGAAGAAGAAACAGAGUCAUAGACAGGUUAAAUAAUGUCUACAAUUUCAUACCUAACCCCUCAUUUUAAAAAACCAGUGAAACAAUGGCUGCAGUAGCUUGAGAUCAGGGCAGGUAGAGUAGGAGGGAUUUGGGAGUAAAAGUGAAACUGAUUUGGCAUUUUUGUAACUAAAUGUGUCUGUCGUGAACCCACAGAUACUGCCGUGGGCAGGAACCGAAAAACAUCUGCGCAUUGGCCAAGUACAUUUGUCUCAGCAGAGCCCAGAGAUCAACUUUUUGAUUUGUGGAAGAAGCAGGGUGUACGUAGUCUGUAUAAUUUUUGACUGGAGAAAUAGUAAUUAUUUCUUUCAAGUAAAAGGAGUUCAUUCCCAACCAUGGAAGUGAAUAUGUGUAUACCAUUUGCUAAUCACUUCGUCUGGGUGGACUCAGACUCACUAUUGGAAAAAUGAGGGUUUUAAGGGCCAAAUGCCCAACCACCUCUAUUGUUCUAAGACCAAGAGCGAAUAAAACUGGUUUCUUGGAAGGAAGAUAUCUAAUAAUACAAAAAUUAAUCCCCUGAAAUUAAAGUAGUUCCAGAAACAGCAAAAUAUAUGAUCUCUCUUGCUUUUGGCUUUGCUAACUUUAUUUCUUCUGAGAAAAGAUUAUUGCAAUACAUCUAAAUAAAUACUAUGCAACAUUAAAGCUGAGAUUAUUGUUCAUCAGAUUUUAAAUCUUUAUAUGUUCCACAAGCCCAGAUACCUGGUAGGAGGCCGAGAGUGGCUGGAAACAGAGAAAGCGUUGAGAUCUUCCAUGUAACACCUCUGCUCUUACAGGUAGAGGGUCCAUGAGGUCUUGUCCCUCUGACACAAAGCAAUGCAGAAAAUAAAUCAUUUCUUUCAAAAAUGUAUCUUUACUGUAUAGUUUAGUGCUAUACCUGUAUGUUGCAUAUAUUAUAUCAGCAAAUAAUUAUAUUUACAUAAAUGCAAAUAUGGACUUCCUCAAAAAUCUGCUAGAAUGCAUAACCACAUGUAAAUCACAACCACAAAGACUACAAGAAACAGUGCUGUGAAGGAAACUAAAUGAUACACAAGACAAGUAAACUUCCUAAAGUUCUAAACCUCAGAGAAAGGGAGUGCUAUACAAAGGGAAACGGAGGAGGAAAAAGCCAUCAUUCUCUCAGGACCUAAUGUGGUCCACCAACUGCUCUAUGUUACCCUCUAAUUUCUAGAUUUCCAUUAUUAAUAAGAUAUUAUUGUGAAUUUCUCACAGAUAAAAAAGUCAGGUUCAGUGACUCUCGAUAGGGCCUGUCAUGCCUGGAACAUGCUAAAAGUUCCCAUUCCUGUCACACGUUAAUAAGUCAGGAUGUGUGCUGUGACAUCGAUGUAACCAUGAAAACAAUGGUGAAAGGAUGUCUCCGUUCCCAGCCAAGAGAGUGAAAAAGUAGAGUGGUAAGAAAAUAAUUAAUCCAGGAGAUGGAAAAAAGGAAGAGUAAAAGGAACAUGGGAAAAACGGAAGAAAUGGAACACAGAAGCAAGAUGGUUGAUGUUAAUCCAAAAGCAUGAGUAAAUGUGCUACGUUUAAAUGAGCAAAAUAUUCCAAUGAAAGAUGGUGACUCUUCCAAGCCUGGGGUCUGCAUUUUGAGCCAUUUCUGCUCCCAGCCUGCAGGGUCCUUGAUAAAUCAAAAACCACUGGACUCAAAGAGUGAGGCACCACUAGGAUGAAAUGCGUGAGGUUUUUGACAAAAAUGAGUCAUGAAAGUGUAACCGUUGAAUCGAAGAAUGGGACACAAGUCCGUGCAACAGGCAUGGGGGCAAAUGUCAGUAUGAGUACACGUCUCAAAGCUGCGAGGAUGGUCCCGAAAAUCACAGAAACGGCGCAGGGGAAACACGGAGAGUGCUGCGGUGGCAUCGGAUAUGUUGCCCUGCCAGACAGCUGACCUCUGGGUGCACUACUUGUCCACACAAACUCCGGUGAAAUCCAAGGAAAGGGAAGUCCUUGGUGGGAGAGACCAAGGCCGGGGAGGAGAUGUCAGGUCCUUAGCAGUGGAGACUCUGAAGAUUACUGUUUCACAAUGAUGCGUGGUUUGGAUGCUUUUUUGUACAGGUGUUGUUUACAUCGGUGUUUAAUAGACAAGAUAAUUAUUGUCAGAGUGUCUAAAAACCACCUAGAUAUCUGACAUGGAAGACACAUAAAUAUAAGCACACAGGAAGGUUGAGAGAAAAGAACAGAGAGAUAGUUUUUGUAAGCAUGCAUUCAUACAAGACAACUGAGGAACCUAUAAUAAUAUCAGACAAACUGGAGUUUAAGUCAAGAAGUAUCACUAGAUGUGUUAUGAUAAAAAGCUGACAACAAUUCAAAUUGUCUUUACAGCUAAUGCCAGAGCCUCAAAAUAUACAAAAUGUAAAAAGCAAAUAUGACAGAAUAAUUUUUAGAAAGCAUAUAAAAAUCCCCAGCGAGGCAAG
Molecule: long non-coding RNA, 3094 nt
Organism: Hippopotamus amphibius kiboko
Lineage: Eukaryota; Metazoa; Chordata; Mammalia; Artiodactyla; Hippopotamidae
Exons: 3
Source: RefSeq, a predicted model, not a curated record